GAUGAACGCUGGCGGCGUGCCUAAUACAUGCAAGUCGAGCGAACAGAUGAGGAGCUUGCUCCUCUGACGUUAGCGGCGGACGGGUGAGUAACACGUGGAUAACCUACCUAUAAGACUGGGAUAACUUCGGGAAACCGGAGCUAAUACCGGAUAAUAUAUUGAACCGCAUGGUUCAAUAGUGAAAGACGGUUUUGCUGUCACUUAUAGAUGGAUCCGCGCCGCAUUAGCUAGUUGGUAAGGUAACGGCUUACCAAGGCGACGAUGCGUAGCCGACCUGAGAGGGUGAUCGGCCACACUGGAACUGAGACACGGUCCAGACUCCUACGGGAGGCAGCAGUAGGGAAUCUUCCGCAAUGGGCGAAAGCCUGACGGAGCAACGCCGCGUGAGUGAUGAAGGUCUUCGGAUCGUAAAACUCCGUUAUUAGGGAAGAACAAAUGUGUAAGUAACUAUGCACGUCUUGACGGUACCUAAUCAGAAAGCCACGGCUAACUACGUG
This 497-nucleotide ribosomal RNA is filed under the name uncultured bacterium. RNAcentral describes it as "partial 16S ribosomal RNA". It matches the Rfam family "Bacterial small subunit ribosomal RNA", at positions 28 to 507 of the family's 1533-position model. The record is from RNAcentral.